Molecule: ribosomal RNA, 251 nt
Filed under: uncultured bacterium
Lineage: Bacteria
Description: partial 16S ribosomal RNA
Rfam family: Bacterial small subunit ribosomal RNA
Source: RNAcentral
UACGAAGGGGGGCUAGCGUUGUUCGGAAUUACUGGGCGUAAAGCGCGCGCAGGCGGUCUUCCAAGUCAGUGGUGAAAGCCCGGAGCUCAACUCCGGAACUGCCAUUGAAACUGUUAGACUUGAGGAUGAGAGAGGUGAGUGGAAUUCCCAGUGUAGAGGUGAAAUUCGUAGAUAUUGGGAAGAACACCAGUGGCGAAGGCGGCUCACUGGCUCAUUCUGACGCUCAGGCGCGACAGCGUGGGAUCAACAGG